RNAcentral lists this ribosomal RNA (253 nucleotides) under uncultured bacterium. RNAcentral describes it as "partial 16S ribosomal RNA". It matches the Rfam family "Bacterial small subunit ribosomal RNA", at positions 524 to 776 of the family's 1533-position model. The record is from RNAcentral.
UACGUAGGGUGCGAGCGUUAAUCGGAAUUACUGGGCGUAAAGCGUGCGCAGGCGGUUGUGUAAGCCAGAUGUGAAAUCCCCGGGCUUAACCUGGGAAUGGCAUUUGGGACUGCAAGGCUGGAGUGUGGCAGAGGAGACUGGAAUUCCUGGUGUAGCAGUGAAAUGCGUAGAUAUCAGGAGGAAUACCGAUGGCGAAGGCAGGUCUCUGGGCUAACACUGACGCUCAUGCACGAAAGCGUGGGGAGCAAACAGG